GGGGAAUAUUGCACAAUGGAGGAAACUCUGAUGCAGCGACGCCGCGUGAACGAUGAAGGCUUUCGGGUCGUAAAGUUCUGUCCUAGGGGACGAUUAUGACGGUACCCUAGGAGGAAGCCCCGGCUAACUACGUGCCAGCAGCCGCGGUAAUACGUAGGGGGCGAGCGUUGUCCGGAUUUAUUGGGCGUAAAGGGUUCGCAGGCGGCCUUUUAAGUCAGAUGUGAAAGCCCACGGCUCAACCGUGGUAAGCAUUUGAAACUGGAAGGCUUGAGUUAAGGAGAGGAAAGUGGAAUUCCUAGUGUAGCGGUGAAAUGCGUAGAUAUUAGGAGGAAUACCAGUGGCGAAGGCGACUUUCUGGACUUAUACUGACGCUGAGGAACGAAAGCGUGGGGAGCAAAC
RNAcentral lists this ribosomal RNA (399 nucleotides) under uncultured bacterium. RNAcentral describes it as "bacterial SSU rRNA". It matches the Rfam family "Bacterial small subunit ribosomal RNA", at positions 356 to 773 of the family's 1533-position model. The record is from RNAcentral.